Molecule: long non-coding RNA, 1823 nt
Organism: Canis lupus familiaris (dog)
Lineage: Eukaryota; Metazoa; Chordata; Mammalia; Carnivora; Canidae
Exons: 3
Source: RefSeq, a predicted model, not a curated record
GCCCUCUCCCCUAGGAGAAUGAUAAAGACAGGGAGCACGUCCCAUGACAGAUUCUCAGCCCCCUUCACCACACUCACGCCCUGCACAGCCUUGGAACCAGCGGGAGGACAGCACCCGGCGGGGUUUCAGUAUUUUACCUUGUGUUACGGCAUCAGCCGACCGCCAUGUUUCACAGAAGCCCGGGUCGCCCGGGCUCCCGUUUACCCGAAAAUAUCGCGAGAACCAAAGCGACAACCAGCGCCGCGAACGUCAGCUGGGAGACAAUGUAGAGUUCUCGCGAUAUGCGCGCUGCCUACGAAGGGCUUUGUGAAUCAGGAGGCGUGGCUAAGGGGAAAGGGGGUGUGGCCAAACAGAACCUUGGGUGAGACACGUUUUACAGGUGUAACCACGUGGCCAAGAAGGAAUGGGUCACCUUCCGACCGCUGCUUGGAGACCACCGAACGGAUCCCAACGCCUCACGUCGUACGUCGUUGCUAAUGGGGUCUUGGGAGCAGGGUUUGUCCCUUGCGACCCUAAUAACGUAUCCCAUCUCCAAUCUGCCUUCUGUUUUUGCCUCCUUAUUUUCUCCCGUCAAGAACAUUUAAACUUCCUUUUCCAGACAUACGUAAUGCUUUUAAUUAUUCGUUCAAGGUUUCUCUUGACUUCCAGAUGAGUGCACACAUGAACUGGAGAGGAGGGGCAGAGAGAAGGGGGAGAGAGAAUCCCAAGCAGGCUCCUUGUCCAGCAUAGCUCCCAUUAUAGGCCUCCAUCUCACAACCCUGAGAAUCAUGACCAGAGCUGAAACAAGAGACAGUCGCUUAACCAACUGAGCCACUCAGUGAUCAUGCUUCUCCUCCAGUGACAGAUGUGAUCCAGCCCCUGUAGGCAGAAAUUCUGGCAAAGACUGUUGGUGCAGCAGGAUGGCAGUUACUGCUGCCCCAGCUCACGAUACCGAUGAGCUUGUACUGUCCAUCGUGGGCACACUGCAGCGGUCCUCCUGAAUCUCCCUGCAACCAGCAAAAAGAGAAGUUCUCCUGGUUUCAUGAUUCAUGGUUGAUGCUAACCUCCACUGCAGAGCUGGUCAGACAGUGUGGAAGACAUUCCCUCAUCUUUGAUUUCUGCUCACGACAGCAGAGGGAAGUAGGCAGUUGGCGGAUGUUACAGAUCUCUGAAUAAGAUCAAAAUCUAUAUUUUCAAAGAGUGGCUAAAAGGUACAUUUAACACAAAGUCAUUUAAUGCUGGCAACAGACUGUGCCUUGCAAAAAGUUUCAAACAUCUACUAAAUAUAAAUGACUAAAUGGUGGUUUUGAGUUACAUGAAAAUAUAUUUUCAAUGCCACUAGAAGUAGAUUCUUUGAGCUGCCUGAUUCAGCUGUGAAUCUGAGCCAUAAUAAAUUAUUUUUAUAGGUCAAAAACAGUUGAAUAUCAUCAAUUUCACAUAGUCAACCAAGCAAAUGAAUGAGCAAUUCCUUUUGAGAACUGCGUUCACUUCAAGUAUCAAAUUAGCAAUGACAGUACAUCAGUUUAGCAAUGUACUUAUUCUUCUCGCUUUUCAUUUCAUUUUGAAACUACCAUAUAUUUAUACCUCUUUAUGGCCAGCAAACCCCAUUCAUAGACACACUGAGAAGAAAACCACACUAAUCAAUGCAUCCUUGAAUUACCAUGCAUGAGGAUGAGCCUGCAGCCCCUCCACAGAUGUUGGUGUUUUUAAUAUCCAGUCCCCAGUAGCUUCGACAAGAUGUACUGCUGAUCAGUGGUAGUGAUACCAUCACUACCUCCUGCACAGUUUUAGAAAAUCUGUCUUCUAGUAGAAAAAGAAUAAAACACAUAACCUAGGCAAAUGCU